CCUACGGGAGGCAGCAGUGGGGAAUAUUGGACAAUGGGCGAAAGCCUGAUCCAGCGACGCCGCGUGAGGGAAGACGGUUUUCGGAUUGUAAAGCUCUGUCAGUAGGGAAGAAAGAAAUGACGGUACCUGAAUAAGAAGCCCCGGCUAACUACGUGCCAGCAGCCGCGGUAAUACGUAGGGGGCAAGCGUUAUCCGGAAUUACUGGGUGUAAAGGGAGCGUAGGUGGCAAAGUAAGUGCGGCGUGAAAGGCUUGGGCCUAACUCAAGGACUGCACUAGAAACUAUCGAGCUUGAGUGCAGGAGAGGUAAGCGGAAUUCCUAGUGUAGCGGUGAAAUGCGUAGAUAUUAGGAAGAACACCAGUGGCGAAGGCGGCUUACUGGACUGUAACUGACGCUGAGGCUCGAAAGCGUGGGGAGCGAACAGGAUUAGAUACCCUUGUAGUC
This 443-nucleotide ribosomal RNA is filed under the name uncultured bacterium. Its description in RNAcentral is "partial 16S ribosomal RNA". It matches the Rfam family "Bacterial small subunit ribosomal RNA", at positions 338 to 795 of the family's 1533-position model. The record is from RNAcentral.